CUCCAAGCAGGCUCCUUCCUCCGCCGGGUUGAGCCGGUGAUGUAGAUCGAGCAGGUCGCAGGAGCUUGCUGCAACACCUGAUCUUUCAUCUGAUUUUUCGUUCAUCUCAGGGAAAUUGCUCGUGUUUGCUUCCACACGUCUGGGUGUAUAAAAUCUCCAUCCAUACACUGAGAUUGAAACGAGGCCAUGAUAAUUGACGUUCAAGCUUCAGGCUGUCACAGCUAAAUCUCCUUCCAGUAGUGAUUUGCGGUCAAUAACGAUGCAUGCCAUACAUCAAAUGAUGUGAGAUUGGAAGAUGUUGUCAAAGAGUAUGCCCAACAGCCAUGUGUUUGCAUUUGUUCAAAGGAUGUGAGAUUGGAAGAUGUUGUCAAAGAGUAUUCCCAACAGCCACGGGUUUGCAUUUGUUAAAAGGAUGUGAGAUUGGAAGAUGUUGUCAAAGAGUAUGCCCAACAACCAUGGGUUUGCAUUUGUUGCUAGAGCCAUGGAUGACCCUGGAGCUUUUGAUUUGAAACAACAGUUGCCAUGUGAUGAUCAGUUACUGAACCCAAUGCAAAGUUUCAUUACUAUAUUUGUAUGUGAGCUCUGAGAUAGACGGAUGCACUGCUGUCAAUAAAUGUGAGGUAAGAUUUGUGAUUCAAGAUUCAGAGGAGUUGUGUCAAAUGCCACAACAUGCUUAUCAUCUCAUAGGUUGGUUCCUUCCCACCAUUGCGUUUGUCCCGGUUUCUUAUAUAGAAGAUGAUAUGGAAGCUCGACAUAGAAAAAUAAUUACUAUAAUGCAGAUUACAUGUUAAGCAACUUCUGAUGCAGAUUACAUAUUAAGUAACUUCUGA
Triticum aestivum (bread wheat) is the source of this 830-nucleotide long non-coding RNA. RefSeq lists it as uncharacterized. Lineage: Eukaryota; Viridiplantae; Streptophyta; Magnoliopsida; Poales; Poaceae. The transcript is spliced from 4 exons. The record is from RefSeq and is a predicted model, not a curated record.